This 269-nucleotide ribosomal RNA is filed under the name uncultured bacterium. RNAcentral's name for it is "partial 16S ribosomal RNA". It matches the Rfam family "Bacterial small subunit ribosomal RNA", at positions 524 to 789 of the family's 1533-position model. The record is from RNAcentral.
UACAGAGGGUGCGAGCGUUAAUCGGAAUUACCGGGCGUAAAGCGCACGUAGGUGGCGACGUAAGUCGGGUGUGAAAGCCCCGGGCUCAACCUGGGAAUUGCAUUCGAGACUGUGUUGCUGGAGUACGGAAGAGGAGGGCGGAAUUCCCGGUGUAGCGGUGAAAUGCGUAGAUAUCGGGAGGAACAUCAGUGGCGAAGGCGGCCCUCUGGUCCAGUACUGACACUCAAGUGCGAAAGCGUGGGGAGCAAACAGGAUUAGAACCGUACCGU